CAGUAGCCGCGGUAAUACAGAGGGUGCAAGCGUUAAUCGGAAUUACUGGGCGUAAAGCGCGCGUAGGUGGUUUGUUAAGUUGGAUGUGAAAUCCCCGGGCUCAACCUGGGAACUGCAUCCAAAACUGGCAAGCUAGAGUAUGGUAGAGGGUGGUGGAAUUUCCUGUGUAGCGGUGAAAUGCGUAGAUAUAGGAAGGAACACCAGUGGCGAAGGCGACCACCUGGACUGAUACUAACACUGAGGUGCGAAAGCGUGGGGAGCAAACAGGAUUAGAUACCCCGGUAGUCCCUGUCUCUUAUAC
RNAcentral lists this ribosomal RNA (301 nucleotides) under uncultured bacterium. RNAcentral's name for it is "partial 16S ribosomal RNA". It matches the Rfam family "Bacterial small subunit ribosomal RNA", at positions 509 to 807 of the family's 1533-position model. The record is from RNAcentral.